This 900-nucleotide ribosomal RNA is filed under the name Diplolaeviopsis ranula. RNAcentral's name for it is "LSU rRNA". It matches the Rfam family "Eukaryotic large subunit ribosomal RNA", at positions 45 to 961 of the family's 3401-position model. Lineage: Eukaryota; Fungi; Ascomycota; Leotiomycetes; Helotiales; Cordieritidaceae. The record is from RNAcentral.
CAUAAGCGGAGGACAAGAAACCAACAGGGAUUGCCUCAGUAACGGCGAGUGAAGCGGCAACAGCUCAAAUUUGAAAUCUGGCCUUUUUGGAGGUCCGAAUUGUACUUUGCAGAAGAUGCUUCGGGUGUGGUGCCGGUCUAAGUUCCUUGGAACAGGACGUCAUAGAGGGUGAGAAUCCCGUAUGUGACUGCGCGCCUACGCCUUUGUGAAGCUCUUUCGACGAGUCGAGUUGUUUGGGAAUGCAGCUCUAAAUGGGUGGUAAAUUUCAUCUAAAGCUAAAUAUGGGCCAGAGACCGAUAGCGCACAAGUAGAGUGAUCGAAAGAUGAAAAGCACUUUGGAAAGAGAGUUAAACAGCACGUGAAAUUGUUGAAAGGGAAGCGCUUGCAACCAGACUUGCGUGCGGCUGAUCAUCCGGGGUUCUCUCCGGUGCACUCAGUCGUGCUCAGGCCAGCAUCGGUUUUGGUGGUCGGAGAAAGAUCGUGGGAAUGUAGCUUCUUUAGGGGAGUGUUAUAGCCCGCGGUGUCAUGCGACCUACCGGGACCGAGGACCGCGCUUCGGCUAGGAUGCUGGCGUAAUGGUUGUAAGCGACCCGUCUUGAAACACGGACCAAGGAGUCUAAUAUUUAUGCGAGUAUUUGGGUGUCAAACCCAGGUGCGGAAUGAAAGUGAACGGAGGUGAGAACCCUGUAGGGCGCAUCAUCGACCGAUCCUGAUGUCUUCGGAUGGAUUUGAGUAGGAGCAUAGCUAUUGGGACCCGAAAAAGAGUGAACUUUACGUGAAUAGGGUGAAGCCAGAGGAAACUCUGGUGGAGGCUCGCAGCGGUUCUGACGUGCAAAUCGAUCGUCAAAUUUGCGUAAAGGGGCGAAAGACUAAUCGAACUUUUUAGUAGCUGGUCUGCAG